GCCGCUAUAAUCCUUUGAACGCNNUUCGAUUCACAUUCGAAAGGUCGUAGGUUCGAAUCCUACAAGGUGCACCA
This 74-nucleotide transfer RNA is filed under the name Candidatus Kerfeldbacteria bacterium. RNAcentral's name for it is "tRNA-Val". Lineage: Bacteria; Candidatus Kerfeldiibacteriota. The record is from RNAcentral.